AUGUUUUAUUAACAACUCUGCAACCCGAGUCAUUCGUGUUUUUCAAUUAAACUCGCCCAGUGAGAUUCAUUGGAGUCAUAUGAUGUAGAUCUAGAUUGUCGUCGCAGAUCGUCUGAUUCAUGAGAAUGUGUUUUAUCCUCAUUCAAGGUAGAAAUAACUGAUCCAGUUUUGGAAAAACAUUAAUAAAUGUAGUUUUAAGCGUAUGAUACACAGAGAAACAGUGGAUGAAGUCAAGAAAAACAAAAUACAUAUGUGGUAUAGUAU
Molecule: long non-coding RNA, 264 nt
Organism: Magallana angulata
Lineage: Eukaryota; Metazoa; Mollusca; Bivalvia; Ostreida; Ostreidae
Exons: 3
Source: RefSeq, a predicted model, not a curated record